RNAcentral lists this ribosomal RNA (493 nucleotides) under uncultured bacterium. Its description in RNAcentral is "bacterial SSU rRNA". It matches the Rfam family "Bacterial small subunit ribosomal RNA", at positions 903 to 1397 of the family's 1533-position model. The record is from RNAcentral.
AAAGGAAUAGACGGGGGCCCGCACAAGCGGAGGAACAUGUGGUUUAAUUCGAUGAUACGCGAGGAACCUUACCUGGGCUUAAAUUGCAGAUGACAGGAGCCGAAACGCUUCUUUCUUCGGACAUCUGUGAAGGUGCUGCAUGGUUGUCGUCAGCUCGUGCCGUGAGGUGUCGGCUUAAGUGCCAUAACGAGCGCAACCCUUAUCUUUAGUUGCUAACAGGUGAUGCUGAGGACUCUAGAGAGACUGCCGUCGUAAGAUGUGAGGAAGGGAGGGAUGACGUCAAAUCAGCACGGCCCUUACGUCCAGGGCUACACACGUGUUACAAUGGGAGGCACAGAGGGCAGCUACCUAGCGAUAGGAUGCUAAUCUCAUAAAUCCUCUCUCAGUUCGGAUCGAAGUCUGCAAUUCGACUUCGUGAAGCUGGAUUCGCUAGUAAUCGCGCAUCAGCUACGGCGCGGUGAAUACGUUCCCGGGCCUUGUACACACCGCCCGU